RNAcentral lists this ribosomal RNA (468 nucleotides) under uncultured bacterium. RNAcentral describes it as "partial 16S ribosomal RNA". It matches the Rfam family "Bacterial small subunit ribosomal RNA", at positions 28 to 507 of the family's 1533-position model. The record is from RNAcentral.
GACGAACGCUGGCGGCGUGCUUAACACAUGCAAGUCGAACGGAAAGGCCCUGCUUUUGUGGGGUGCUCGAGUGGCGAACGGGUGAGUAACACGUGAAUAACCUGCCCUUGACUUUGGGAUAACUUCAGGAAACUGGGGCUAAUACCGGAUAGGAGCUCCUGCUGCAUGGUGGGGGUUGGAAAGUUUCGGCGGUUGGGGAUGGACUCGCGGCUUAUCAGCUUGUUGGUGGGGUAGUGGCUUACCAAGGCUUUGACGGGUAGCCGGCCUGAGAGGGUGACCGGCCACAUUGGGACUGAGAUACGGCCCAGACUCCUACGGGAGGCAGCAGUGGGGAAUAUUGCACAAUGGGCGGAAGCCUGAUGCAGCAACGCCGCGUGCGGGAUGACGGCCUUCGGGUUGUAAACCGCUUUCGCCUAUGACGAAGCGUGAGUGACGGUAAUGGGUAAAGAAGCACCGGCUAACUACGUG